Molecule: ribosomal RNA, 433 nt
Filed under: uncultured bacterium
Lineage: Bacteria
Description: partial 16S ribosomal RNA
Rfam family: Bacterial small subunit ribosomal RNA
Source: RNAcentral
AACGAACGCUGGCGGCAGGCCUAACACAUGCAAGUCGAGCGGUCCUUGCGGGUUGGGGGGCGCGGGGGAGAGAAGCGCGGGGUAAUACACCCUUCUCUGCCUAAUAGUCGGGGAAAACUGAGUGAAAGAGCAUAUACUCCCGCGGGGGAAAAGAUGUUGCGGGGAAGGAAUAGCCCGGGUUGGAUUAUGUAGGGGGGGGGGUAAUGGCCUACCAAGCCGACGGUCCAUAGCUGGGUUGAGAGGAUGAUCAGCCACACUGGGACUGAGACACGGCCCAGACUCCUACGGGAGGCAGCAGUGGGGAAUCUUAGACAAUGGGGGCAACCAUGAUCUAGCCAUGCCGCGUGAGUGAUGAAGGCCUUAGGGUUGUAAAGCUCUUUCAGCUGGGAAGAUAAUGACGGUACCAGCAGAAGAAGCCCCGGCUAACUCCGUG